UCCACUUUGUACCAAGAUGAAUGCAUCUUUACUGCUGUUGCUUAUUGUUGCUGUCCCUCUAGCCAGUGGAAGUAAACUUGAAGGAAGAGAUGGAUGUCCUGAGAUUCUUGGAUCUAUUCCAUGUGGUGAAUAUUGCUCAUCUGAUAAUGAUUGCGAGUCUUUUGAGAGGUGCUGCGCCACUGAACGCGGCUUUGCGUGUAUAAAUGUCUGUGGAUUUCAAUCAGGGGGCUAGAGGAUAUUGGGAAAACUGACAUCUUUUGGAUCAAAUGGAGCAUCAAAUAUUAAAAGUCAACUUGUGAAUUUGUUGAAAUAAUUACAUUUGUGAUUCUGAACUGUAAUUUUCUAAAAGAUAAAA
Mizuhopecten yessoensis (Yesso scallop) is the source of this 355-nucleotide long non-coding RNA. RefSeq lists it as uncharacterized. The record is from RefSeq and is a predicted model, not a curated record. The transcript has 3 exons. Lineage: Eukaryota; Metazoa; Mollusca; Bivalvia; Pectinida; Pectinidae.